This 220-nucleotide unclassified non-coding RNA is filed under the name uncultured fungus. RNAcentral's name for it is "sequence contains ITS1, 5.8S rRNA gene". The stretch from base 172 to 220 matches the Rfam family "5.8S ribosomal RNA", at positions 1 to 49 of the family's 154-position model. Lineage: Eukaryota; Fungi. The record is from RNAcentral.
UUUCCGUAGGUGAACCUGCGGAAGGAUCAUUACAUUCAGUAGCCUAGCUACUUGUUUAUACCCUUGUUUUUGCGUACCUAUUGUUUCCUCGGCGGGCUUGCUCGCCGGUUGGACAAAACUAUAACCUUUUUUAAAUCUUCAAUCAGCGUCUGAAUUAUACAUAAUAAUUACAACUUUCAACAACGGAUCUCUUGGUUCUGGCAUCGAUGAAGAACGCAGC